This 345-nucleotide unclassified non-coding RNA is filed under the name soil metagenome. Its description in RNAcentral is "partial contains 5.8S ribosomal RNA, internal transcribed spacer 2, and large subunit ribosomal RNA". The stretch from base 1 to 120 matches the Rfam family "5.8S ribosomal RNA", at positions 35 to 154 of the family's 154-position model. The record is from RNAcentral.
GAUGAAGAACGUAGCGAAAUGCGAUACGUAAUGUGAAUUGCAGAAUUCAGUGAAUCAUCGAGUCUUUGAACGCACAUUGCGCCCCCUGGUAUUCCGGGGGGCAUGCCUGUCCGAGCGUCGUUGCUGCCCUCAAGCACGGCUUGUGUGUUGGGCCUCCGUCCUCCUCCCGGGGGCCGGGCCCGAAAGGCAGCGGCGGCACCGCGUCCGGUCCUCGAGCGUAUGGGGCUUCGUCACCCGCUCUUGUAGGCCCGGCCGGCGCUUGCCGACACAUCAAUCUUUUUUCCAGGUUGACCUCGGAUCAGGUAGGGAUACCCGCUGAACUUAAGCAUAUCAAUAAGCGGAGGA